Molecule: long non-coding RNA, 439 nt
Filed under: Vigna radiata
Lineage: Eukaryota; Viridiplantae; Streptophyta; Magnoliopsida; Fabales; Fabaceae
Description: long non-coding RNA (VRAD_LNC017723)
Source: RNAcentral
CUGUCUGGAAGGCGGGAAGACAAAAUUUUUACUCUAUAGACGUCGGUUCUGGGGGCGCCGACGUCUAAGUUCUUGUAUUUUCACCAAAUUCGAGGGUUGUAGACGUCGUCUGUGGGGGGCACCGACGUGAACUUCCCUGAUAGGAACCCAAAACGUCAAUCUUUUCAGCUUCAUAGACGUCGGACCCCCUGAAACACCGACGUCUGUAGAUGGCGGUUUCGGGAACAACCGACGCCCCAUUUCAUUUUAAAUAUACCGCAGAAUCUUCUCACCAUUCAGUUUCUAUCUCGUCUUCAUCUCUUCUCCAUUUUCUAUGCUUCUCCUCUUCUUUUACUCGCAUGCGCACUUCUACUUUUUAUCUCUUGCGUCAUUGCAUUGUGGUUUCUCAUAACGUCAUUGUCUUCGUCCUCUCCUUUUUCUCUCUUGCAUCCCAGCUGCG